CUGGCGCAAGCCCGAGUUGUAAUUUGAAGAAGGUAAUUUUUGGGAAGAUGUAUAUAAAAGUUCCUUGGAACAGGACGUCAUAGAGGGUGAGAAUCCCGUUUUGUAUACCGCUCUUUCCUUGUAAAAUGCCUUCGAAGAGUCGAGUUGUUUGGGAAUGCAGCUCUAAGUGGGUGGUAAAUUCCAUCUAAAGCUAAAUAUUGGCGAGAGACCGAUAGCGAACAAGUACAGUGAUGGAAAGAUGAAAAGAACUUUGAAAAGAGAGUGAAAAAGUACGUGAAAUUGUUGAAAGGGAAGGGUUUUAAGGGAGACUUGGGGGGUAGUGAACAAUUUUCCUUUGGGAAGGUGCACUCACUAUUCUCUGGGCCAAUAUGGGUUUGUGGAGUAGGAUAAAAGGGCAGGAAUGUGGCCAUUCGUGGUGUUAUAGCCUGCCCCAAUACUACUACUGCG
This 447-nucleotide ribosomal RNA is filed under the name Sugiyamaella sp. BG090815.8.6.1.3.23. RNAcentral's name for it is "eukaryotic LSU rRNA". It matches the Rfam family "Eukaryotic large subunit ribosomal RNA", at positions 122 to 579 of the family's 3401-position model. The record is from RNAcentral. Lineage: Eukaryota; Fungi; Ascomycota; Dipodascomycetes; Dipodascales; Trichomonascaceae.